RNAcentral lists this ribosomal RNA (503 nucleotides) under uncultured bacterium. RNAcentral's name for it is "bacterial SSU rRNA". It matches the Rfam family "Bacterial small subunit ribosomal RNA", at positions 28 to 518 of the family's 1533-position model. The record is from RNAcentral.
GAUGAACGCUAGCUACAGGCUUAACACAUGCAAGUCGCGGGGCAGCAUUUUCUUAGCUUGCUAAGGAAGAUGGCGACCGGCGCACGGGUGAGUAACGCGUAUCCAACCUUCCCAUGUCCACGGGAUAGCCCGUCGAAAGGCGGAUUAAUACCGUAUGAGGUCACAUGCGGGCAUCUAAGUGUGACGAAAGGUUUGGCGGACAUGGAUGGGGAUGCGUCCGAUUAGCUAGUUGGCGGGUAACGGCCACCAAGGCGACGAUCGGUAGGGGUUCUGAGAGGAAGGUCCCCCCACAUUGGAACUGAGACACGGUCCAAAACUCCUACGGGAGGCAGCAGUGAGGAAUAUUGGUCAAUGGACGUAAGUCUGAACCAGCCAAGUAGCGUGCAGGAUGACGGCCCUAUCGGGUUGUAAACUGCUUUUAUGCGGGGAUAAAGUGUGGGGACGUGUCCCAUAUUGCNGGUACUGCAUGAAUAAGGACCGGCUAAUUCCGUGCCAGCAGCCGC